UCUUUCUUUAUUGACUAGGCUGAGCGCCGACAGCCCGUUUCACGCAGAGCACAGCUGGGAGCAGGACAAAAACAUCAAGAAGGGGAAGAUCCAGUUUGGCCGCUGUUACCCGGGUCUGUCUGAGGGAGCUUUAACCUUCAUGAAGAACAGCCUGAACAACAAAUCCUGGGGCAGACCGACGGCGGCCGAGUGUCUCCAGAACCCCUGGCUGCGAGCCCACCGAGCCCCACACAAAGCCCGACACUCCAAAGUGUGUUUCUCCACGGACAAACUGAAAGCUUACCUCAAGCAGAAGGAGGAGAAACGAGACCAGGUGCGCAUCAAAGUCCAGGGUCCCUUCUUCCAGUAAACGGAUCUUUUCUAAAUAACAUGCAGCUUUACGACAGGGUCCGUCCGUUCAAAACGAAUCAGCGCCUCCAACCUGAGCCCUCAGAAAUCAUCUGAUUUUAUCUACCGUAACUUUAAUAUAUAUAUAAUGAAACCAUGCAAACUUUUACUGUCGUGUUUCUGUUUUAACAUAGAAGGAAUCAUAUGAACCUGGUAAACUUUAGCUAAAAAUGAGAAUAUUCCAUGUUCCUACCGACCACCUGUCACACAGAGUUUGUUCAAAAUGCACUUUUUAAAGUUUUCUGUGGUGAAUGAUCAGAAAACAGAAACACAUCCAGAGUACUGAUGAUUGUUGCUGUGAAAGUUAUAAAAAAACUACCAAAAAUCAGAUUUACUCUUGAGAUUGUGACACCUGGAUGGAUGUAAAAGUGGUUUGGUGUCGGUUUUUAACAGAACGUAAAUGUGUUGUGCAUCCAAAAACGUCACGUGUUUAUCUGCUGCACUGAUGAGACUCAGAAAUGAUGGAAAAAGUCAAUUUAAAAGUGUGAAAUUUCAACCUACUUCUGUGUAUUUUAAGAGCCUGUAACUCUGAAAAUAUUCAGAGUAUAUAAAUAAAACUUUGCAUGGUUUCAUUAAACAUACUGAAGUUAUUGUACAUAAACAAUGAACUGAUUUGGUUGAUGUUUCAUAGAAGGACCCAACAUGUCCGCUGUGUGUGUUUUCUGUCAGGUCAGAUUUAUAAAACAUUUGUUGGUGAACCCUGAUUUUUAAAGCUGUGAUGCGUCUUAAUGAGUUUUAAAGUGUACGUAGACGUUAGCUCCAGAGUGUGCAUCGUUUUUGUGCUUCAUACGGAAACACAUCAGGGAUAAAUCUUUGUCUAAGCAUGAAUCCUAAAGUUCUGACGUUAGAAGCUUUUAUUUUACGCGUUUGGCCUUAAAGUCAGACUGUGUUCUGCUCUGCCACCCAUAGAUGAGCAUUUUUAUUUCAGACUUUACAUGAAGUGCCUUCAGAUUGUAUAAAUGGGAUUAAGCUUGUAGGUUUUAUUAGACGCUUCAGAGUUUCAUAUCAGUGAGAUGCAGAACCGACCGACCUUGUGAAUGACAUAUUUAUUAAAAGACAAAGAAGUGUUCAGUC
This is a long non-coding RNA of Stegastes partitus (bicolor damselfish), 1461 nucleotides long. RefSeq lists it as uncharacterized. The transcript has 2 exons. Lineage: Eukaryota; Metazoa; Chordata; Actinopteri; Pomacentridae. The record is from RefSeq and is a predicted model, not a curated record.